This 253-nucleotide ribosomal RNA is filed under the name uncultured bacterium. RNAcentral describes it as "partial 16S ribosomal RNA". It matches the Rfam family "Bacterial small subunit ribosomal RNA", at positions 524 to 776 of the family's 1533-position model. The record is from RNAcentral.
UACGUAGGGUGCGAGCGUUGUCCGGAUUUAUUGGGCGUAAAGAGCUCGUAGGCGGUUUGUCACGUCUGCUGUGAAAUCCCGAGGCUCAACCUCGGGCCUGCAGUGGGUACGGGCAGACUGGAGUGCGGUAGGGGAGAAUGGAAUUCCUGGUGUAGCGGUGAAAUGCGUUGAUAUCAUCAGGAACACCGGUGGCGAAGGCGGCUUUCUGGGUCUGACCUGACGCUGAGGAACGAAAGCCAGGGGAGCGAACGGG